AUUGAACGCUGGCGGCAGGCCUAACACAUGCAAGUCGAGCGGAUGAAGGGAGCUUGCUCCUGGAUUCAGCGGCGGACGGGUGAGUAAUGCCUAGGAAUCUGCCUGGUAGUGGGGGAUAACGUCCGGAAACGGGCGCUAAUACCGCAUACGUCCUGAGGGAGAAAGUGGGGGAUCUUCGGACCUCACGCUAUCAGAUGAGCCUAGGUCGGAUUAGCUAGUUGGUGGGGUAAAGGCCUACCAAGGCGACGAUCCGUAACUGGUCUGAGAGGAUGAUCAGUCACACUGGAACCUAGACACGGUCCAGACUCCUACGGGAGGCAGCAGUGGGGAAUAUUGGACAAUGGGCGAAAGCCUGAUCCAGCCAUGCCGCGUGUGUGAAGAAGGUCUUCGGAUUGUAAAGCACUUUAAGUUGGGAGGAAGGGCAGUAAGUUAAUACCUCGCUGUUUUGACGUUACCAACAGAAUAAGCACCGGCUAACUUCGUG
This 484-nucleotide ribosomal RNA is filed under the name uncultured bacterium. Its description in RNAcentral is "partial 16S ribosomal RNA". It matches the Rfam family "Bacterial small subunit ribosomal RNA", at positions 30 to 507 of the family's 1533-position model. The record is from RNAcentral.